RNAcentral lists this ribosomal RNA (266 nucleotides) under Fusarium solani. RNAcentral's name for it is "partial large subunit ribosomal RNA". It matches the Rfam family "Eukaryotic large subunit ribosomal RNA", at positions 329 to 600 of the family's 3401-position model. The record is from RNAcentral. Lineage: Eukaryota; Fungi; Ascomycota; Sordariomycetes; Hypocreales; Nectriaceae.
CCAGACCGAUAGCGAACAAGUAGAGUGAUCGAAAGAUGAAAAGCACUUUGGAAAGAGAGUCAAACAGCACGUGAAAUUGUUGAAAGGGAAGCGCUUGCAGCCAGACUUGCUUACAGUUGCUCAUCCGGGUUUUUACCCGGUGCACUCUUCUGUAGGCAGGCCAGCAUCAGUUUGGGCGGUAGGAUAAAGGUCUCUGUCACGUACCUCCUUUCGGGGAGGCCUUAUAGGGGAGACGACAUACUACCAGCCUGGACUGAGCUCCGCGC